GCUCAGGUGCCCUUGACCACAGCAGUGAGCAUUCCAUCAAUUCCUCACAAUUCUGUGAUGCCACCUUUGUCAUCCAUCCUGAGCAAACCCAGGCACUGCAUGCUGGGAAGAGGCAGACUGAACAUCAGCACUGCUUUCAGCUCCGCUUGUCACAGGGUACUUCCUCCUGAUGAGCUUGAUCCCUGCCUUGCACUGCGGCUAGCAUCCGCUCUAUUGGCCGUGUAAUUCUGAAGGGUGUCUAUGCAGCGCAUCAGAGAGCAUCUGGGACCUGGACCCCAAGAUAAGAUGUGAAAGAAGAGGAAGGAUCCUUAGGGAGCACCAGCCAGGUCCUGGCACCCCACCCGGACCCCCAGGACCAGUAUCAUCCUGAUCUAUUCCCUAUAUCACAGAUUCCUCACCGUCUUCAGAUCUGAGAGUUGACCGCUUGUGUGUCACAGCUGACCAGCUGAGGGGAGAGUGGAUUGAAUCCCGGGAGGCUGAGUGCCCCCUGAAGGCCCACUGUGUGGACAGGUCUAGUGGUCGGCAUACCACGCCACAGGAUAUGGAGGUUGGAAGC
Mus musculus (house mouse) is the source of this 556-nucleotide long non-coding RNA. RefSeq annotates it as predicted gene, 35923. NCBI's taxonomy places the organism in Eukaryota, Metazoa, Chordata, Mammalia, Rodentia, Muridae. The record is from RefSeq and is a predicted model, not a curated record. The transcript is spliced from 3 exons.